AUUCCCUGAAGUCCUCACUUUCCCACACAAUGGUCAUCGACACACGCAAUUCUACCAUUCUUCCAAGAAAAGGUGCCUUACUGAAGAUCAACCAGGAACUGGCAGGUUACACUGGAGGAGAUGUCAGUUUCCUGAAGGAAGACUUUGAAAUUCAGCUCAACAAGACUCUGUUCUGGGACUCGGUGAGAUGCUGUGGAGGAAAC
Sinocyclocheilus rhinocerous is the source of this 203-nucleotide long non-coding RNA. RefSeq lists it as uncharacterized. The transcript is spliced from 3 exons. Lineage: Eukaryota; Metazoa; Chordata; Actinopteri; Cypriniformes; Cyprinidae. The record is from RefSeq and is a predicted model, not a curated record.